AUUAAAAGCUAGAGUAUAUUCGGCAAUAUUAACUAUUUUAAUAUUCUAAUAGUUGUUAGUUGUUUUAGUAAUUGUUAGCUAUUUAUAUAACUAUUAAAGUAAAAGUAUUUAGUAAAAAUAACCGUUAGAUUAGCUGUUAGAUGUAAAAAUAGUGAUAAAAUCUUGUUGACUUUAAUCAAAACACUCACUCAAUCUCUAAAAAAUAGAAUUAAUAGUUUUUCAUGAAUCAUUCCCUCAAGUUAGUAUAAGC
This 250-nucleotide unclassified non-coding RNA is filed under the name Hevea brasiliensis (rubber tree). Lineage: Eukaryota; Viridiplantae; Streptophyta; Magnoliopsida; Malpighiales; Euphorbiaceae. The record is from RNAcentral.